Molecule: long non-coding RNA, 562 nt
Organism: Cyprinus carpio carpio
Lineage: Eukaryota; Metazoa; Chordata; Actinopteri; Cypriniformes; Cyprinidae
Source: Ensembl
GUUCAUAAAGUAACCACAAGGUAGCAGUGUAAACUUGUGCGAGUCCGAUUCUUAUUCACAGCUGUUUCAUGAACGCUCUGGUGACUGUAGCAUCUCUGCAUUUACUCCCCAUGUGCGUGCAACUGAAGCUUAAGAAAGCACCUGUUUUUUAUUAGAGCGGUAAUCCAACUCCAGUCCCUCUUAAGGAAGCAGAGGAGAGAUAGAGGUGAAAGGAAAUAUAUAGCUGCUGGAAGAAAAAAAUACAGUAUUUGCAGCACCAUGGGGGUGUUCAUCCACAAAGUCACAUGAGGACUGGGCUGGGAGAGGUUACUGGACUGUGGGAAGAGAGCGAUCUGGGCUGCUUUUGAAGGACAACGCUGAGUGUUAGAAAAGAUCUCAGCUGUUCAUGGUGUCUUUUAUUGCUCAGGAGUUGAUCUUUAAUAGCUCAGGAGAUGUAAUAAAGUUCUCAUUUAUGUUCAGUUUCAGCUGUCUCAGAUGUUUCCUCUUUAGAUUCCUCUGGAAAAAAGAACAAUACACUGUGGACAAAUGAUUUUUGAAGUUGUAAAUAAAAAGAUUAUAGGAG